AAGUCAGCAUGGCCUUUAUGUCCUGGGCUACACACACGCUACGAAUGGCCGGUACAAAGGGUCGCAAUACCGCGAGGUGGAGCUAAUCCCAAAAGCCGGUCUCAGUUCGGAUUGGAGUCUGCAACUCGACUCCAUGAAGUCGGAAUCGCUAGUAAUCGCGUAUCAGCGUGACGCGGUGAAUACGUUCCCGGGCCUU
RNAcentral lists this ribosomal RNA (196 nucleotides) under uncultured Desulfuromonadales bacterium. RNAcentral's name for it is "partial 16S ribosomal RNA". It matches the Rfam family "Bacterial small subunit ribosomal RNA", at positions 1187 to 1382 of the family's 1533-position model. Lineage: Bacteria; Pseudomonadati; Thermodesulfobacteriota; Desulfuromonadia; Desulfuromonadales. The record is from RNAcentral.